Molecule: long non-coding RNA, 6204 nt
Filed under: Capsicum annuum
Lineage: Eukaryota; Viridiplantae; Streptophyta; Magnoliopsida; Solanales; Solanaceae
Description: long non-coding RNA (CANN_LNC014409)
Source: RNAcentral
UUAAUUUCAAUUUUAUUUUAUUUUUCUCAACUAACAAAUUGGACUAAAUUGAAUGGAUAUAUACAGCAAAUAAACAAAUUGAAUCAAAUUCUAGGGUUUCUCUGUCACAACUCUCUCUCAAAUUGGACCAAAUCGUUCCUUUGAUUUUGUACCAUCAGUUGUCGUUCUCAUAUUCCGUUCAAAGCAGACGCCGCCGGCCAUAGAAAACACCAUCGGUGGACCAGCUAACGCAGCAGCAGCCAAAGGCGUCGUUUCUCAACAGCAACGCAGCAGCAGCCAACAGCGACAAACUGUCUCUCUCUCACACAUUAAUCCGGAUCUACUAAUGCGAAAGAAGGUACGAUUUAUGAAACUUUAUAUCAGCUAAAUGCGUAUUUCGUCCUUAUUUUUUCCGCUAAUUUUGUAAAUUGUGAGUUGAAAUAUGCCCUAUGCUUGGUGAAUUGAGAUUUUGAUGUCAAAUUUGUGCAUUAAAUAACGUCUAUGGACAUAUUUUCUACUAAUUCCCGGUGUUAUUCCUUUUCUUGGACAUACACCUUAGUUUUAUGUAAAGUUGAAGAAAGAAAAUCAAUGUUCCGAGUGCUUAGUUCAAUGGAGUAAGACUAAGUCUGGUGUUUAAGUGGAGAAAGGUGCUUAUUGCUCAUACUAACAUUUGUAGUAUUUUUUUUUAUCAGCUAUUUUGUAAUAUCAAUCUGGAACCUCCCUUUUCUAAUUUUCAUUUGCUCUUUUGGUUACUAUAUUUGAUCUCUUGAUGAGCAAGAGGCUUGUAAGUUAGAAGAGUUCAACACCAUGAUAAAUUAAGUAUAGUGACUUGAAAUGUGAGUUAGUUACUUGAAAUGGACUUCUUGAAGGCGGAGAUAUCCUGACAUGCUGGUAAUUUGCUUGGCAGUGUUGUUGCUAAUUGGAUCAUAUUUCUUGGUGGGGAGAAGCUAAAUCAUCUUUUUUUGUCACUGUCUUAUACUUUGCUCUGUUAUUGGGAUAGUGCAACCUUGGAAAUUUUGUGCACUGAGCUGCAGAUAGGUGUCGUUUCAAGAAACUUUGGGGGUUAUCUAGCCAUACUUGAUUGUAACAGGUUACUAGAACUUUAGGUACUGGAUUUACCAUAUUCAAUCAAACUUGUUUAUGCUUGUCUUGUUGAUCAUGUAUUCAGUUCCUUCUUUGGCUUGGAUUUUUUUGGGUUUUAGGUGGUGAAUUCUAUUUAGCAAUUAGAAGUAUGAUUGGAUUCAAUCAGAUCUCAAGUGUUUGUGCACAUCAUUGAAUAUUAAAUAGGAAAUAACAUUAUCAAACAAUUUCCCAGUUUUUGUUUCAAGGUUGAAGUUAGUUGACUUUUCCACUACUUGGCAUAGGUGUCCCACAUGAUCUUUAAUUCUCAAGCACCUUCCAAUUUUAAGGCCAGGUUCAUUCCUCUUUGAACCAAGCUGUUCAACGUAGACAUCAAGUUGUGGGUACAGGCAAUCACACAAUGAAAUGUGUCAUGUAUGAAUUAUGCAGUGAUAAUGUGGAUCUUUUUCAUAUUGACUUUCUCCAUAAAAAUAUGACGGACAUUGACACUUUUGGAGCUGGUUUAGUAGGCAAUUUUAUUAGCCUCAGUCUAUUUCCCUGGUGGGAGGGUAUGAAGGUAUAAAGGUAUGGAGAACGCGAAUUAGGCUUGGAAGGAAUAGCUAAGGAUAGUGACUUGAAAUGCCAAUUAGAGACUUGAAAAUGGUUAAGCGUAGUUACUUGAAAUGUGAAUUAGUGACUAGAAAAUGAUUAAGUCUAGUUACUUUGAAUGUGAAUUAGUUACUGGAGAAUGACUAAGGUUAGUGACUUGAAAUAUGUAUUAGUGACUUGAAAAUGGUUGAGUAUAGUUACUUGAAAUGUGAAUUAGUGACUAGAAAAUGGUUAAGUCUAGUUACUUGAGAUGUGUAUUAGUGAGUUAAAAAUGGUUUAGUGUAGUGACUUAAAAAUGUGAAUUAAUUACUUGAAAUGUGUACUAGUGAGUUUGAAAAUGAUUAAGUGUAGUGACUUGAAAUGUGAAUUAGUUACUUGAAAUGUGUACUAGUGAGUUUAAAAUAUUUAGUUUAGCGACUUAAAAUGUGAAUUAGUUACUUGAAAUGUGUACUAGUGAGUUGAAAAUGAUUAAGUAUAGUGACUUGAAAUGUGAAUUACUUACUUGAAAGUGGUUAAGUAUAGUGACUUAAAAUGUGAAUUAGUUACUUGAGAAUGGCAAAGGAUAGUGACUUGAAAUGUGAAUUAGUGACAUAAAAAUGGAUAAGCAUAGUUACUUGAAAUGUGAAAUAGUGACCAGAAAAUGAUUAAGUCUAGUUACUUGGAAUGUGAAUUAGUUACUUGAGAAUGGCUAAGGAUAGUGACUUGAAAUAUGAAUUAGUGACUUGAAAAUAGUUAAGCAUAGUUACUUGAAAUGUGAAUUAAUGACUAGAAAAUGAUUAAGUGUAGUUACUUUAGAUGUGUAUUAGUGAGUUAAAAAUGGUUAAGUAUAGUGACUUACAAAUGUGAAUUAUUUACUUGAAACGUGUACUAGUGAGUUGAAAAUGAUUAAGUGUGUGACUUGAAAUGUGAAUUAUUUACUUGAAACGUGUACUAGUGAGUUGAAAAUGAUUAAGUGUAGUGACUUGAAAUGUGAAUUAGUUACUUGAAAUGUGUACUAGUGUGUUGAAGAUGAUUAAGUGUAGUGACUUGAAAUGUGUACUAGUGAGUUGAAAAUGAUUAAAGUGACUCGAAAUGUGAAUUACUUACUUGAAAGUGGUUAAGUAUAGUGACUUGAAAUGUGAAUUAGUUACUUGAGAAUGACAAAGGAUAAUGACUUGAAAUGUGAAUUAAUGACUUGAAAAUGGUUAGGCAUAGUUACUUGAAAUGUGAAAUAGUGACUAGAAAAGAUUACGUCUAGUUACUUGAAAUGUGAAUUAGUUACUUGAGAAUGACCAAGGAUAGUGACUUGAAAUGUGAAUUAGUGACUUGAAAAUAGUUAAGCAUAGUUACUUGAAAUGUGAAUUAGUGACUAAAAAAUGAUUAAGUGUAGUUACGUUAGAUGUGUAUUAGUGAGUUCAAAAUGGUUAAGUGUAGUGACUUAAAAAUGUGAAUAAGUUCCUUGAAAUGUGGACUAAUGAGUUGAAAAUGAUUAAGUGUAGCGACUUGAAAUGUGAAUUAGUUACUUGAAAUGUGUACCAGUGAGUUGAAUAUGAUUAAGUAUAGCGACUUGAAAUGUGAAUUACUUAUUUGAAAGUGGUUAAGUAUAGUGACUUGAAAUGUGAAUUAGUUACUAGAAAAUGGUAAAGUGUAGUAACUUGAAAAUGUGAACUUGUGUUUUGAAAAUAGUUAAGUGUAGUCACUUGAAAUGUGAAUUUGUGACUUGAAAAUGAUUGAGUGUAAUCACUUGAAAUGUGUAUUAAUGAGUUGAAAAUAAUCAAGUAUAGUGAGUUGAAAUGUGAAUUAGUUACUUGAAAGUGUUUAAGUGUAGUGUUUUAAAAUGUGAAUUUGUCACUUGAAAAUGUGAACUUGUGUUUUGACAAUGGUUAAGUGUGAUCACUUGAAUAGUGAACUAAUGACUUGAGAAUGUGAAUUUGUGACUUAAAAAUGGUUAAGUUUCCUCUCGUACACAACAAUGAGUCUUCAAUGAGUUUAUGAUAUGUAUACUUCGGAACGAUAUCUUUAACAUUUUUCAUAUUACCAUGUGCUACUUCAGUUUUGCUAAUUGAAUUAUGUCUUAACAUUUUACCCAAUUUGUAGCUCUUUAAGUUUAACAGUUUAUUGUGAUUUUGUGUUUUGAAUGGUGCUUUCAGUAAGGGUUAUAUCUUGUAACGUUAAUAGUUUAGCUGAUUCCACGUUAAUUUGGUGCAGUGAGGUAGUUUAUUCUGUUCUUAAAACAUUUUUAGGAUUAUUGCUGAGCGUUACUUGUUUAAACAAGUUUUUGUUUAUUUUUCUUCCUUUUAUAUUCUGGUUGAGUUGAUGUUACGAUUCUGUUUUUCUAUUUUUUGGUUCUAGCCGUGGGAUGCUAUUGUCCUUAUAAUACAAUUGAGAGUUGACAAAGCCAGCAAUAUUCUUUUGGACUCUGAACUCAAUUCCAAAGUUGCUGAUUUAGUAGUACAUCUACAGGGGUUGUCUAUCACAACAGAUUCUUGAGGAAUAUAAUGAAACUAGAAGCUGUUAGGUGGAAUUAUUACACACUGAUAUACAACAAACAUUAAGCACAAAGUGAACCUUUUUUAUAAUGGCACUAGCGUACAUGUUCACAACUAUUAACCAACGUCAUAAAUGAGCCUUUCUCAAAGUUUGAUGGCAUAUUUGCGUGUCUUUCCUUUCUCAAAAAUGAAUUUGGUGAUGAGUGAGCAAUAUUUGUUUUUUUUUGGGGGGGGGGGGGGGGUGGGGUAAUAAUUACCAUUAAUAAUCAUAAUUUACACCUAUAGAGCACUUUAGGAAGAUAGGCCACAUUCUAGGAAGGGUACCCCCUCCUCUAAAGCCUUAAACCAAGAAACACAACUAUUAAAACAUUCUGAACGAGGUAUUUGCACAUACUAGCUUUCCAAUGCUCCACUCUUUCUACCAUCUCUUUCUUUAUUUUUGUGACUGUAACCUCUGUAUUUAUAAGUGUCCCUCUAAACAACUUCCUAUUUCUUGCUUUCCAAGUAUGCCCGACCAAGUCUCAAGUUCUGUCUUCACUCUUUUUGUCCAGCUACACUCUGAGAAUAGAUGUACUUGUGUUUCCGGCACAUUAGCUCCACAUAAUCAACAUUUGUUAUCAUCUACAGGGAUGUGCAACCUGACCAUCCUCUCCUUGGUUAAUAAUAUCUUGAUUAGAUAACCAUACAAUAAACCUGUGUCUUGGUAGCAUGAGUGAACCUCAGAUAAAGUUAGCUGCAUGUAGUCUUGUCUGUUCACCCAAAAGUUGAUUGUAGCUACAGCUUACUGUAUAUACCUUGGAUGAAGAUACGAUUACUAAUAAGGUCACCCCCCGAUACAUUUGAUGAUGAUACAAAUAUGUCUCUGCUUCUAGACAUACAGUAAAUUUAAUUCUCUCUACAAUUACUUGAUAGUAUUUUCCUCCAGUUCCUAAAUUAUUACAAGAGACAAUGUUGUAGAUGUUUUCUGAGAUUACAAUAUGUUGUCAUUAGAAUAUGUGGUUAAGUGUAGUAGCCAAAUAGACUCCACCUUGAGGCGUAUUCCACAAUAAGAUGUUUAGGAAAAGAGAGCAAUUUAAGGCGGUUAAGAGGUUCACUCCAUGUUAUCAUUUCUUUCUUGAAAUUUUUAUUUGAUGUGGCUUACAUAGCCAACUAAGAGUUUUGCAAUUUAUCGUUGCACUCAUUGCAAUUGCAACUUGUGAGGCAGAUGAUCUUUUUUCUUUCACUUUUAGGUUCAAUCUUGACUGGGAAAUCUUGCAAACAGAUUAAGGGCCUUCAAGUCUCCAAACAUGAACUACUGGAACAAGAAACAAGAAAGUCACAAUAGCCAAAAAUACAUGAAAUUUGGAUAACUCCAUUUUUUCUGUACUUUCAAACUCAAGUAGUUUAAAUCUUAUAAUUUAUAUCAUUUAUUGUAUACUAAUAAUUUUACCUUUAACGUAGAAUCGAUAUGUCAAGCAAUUGAAGAGCUAAAAAAAAAACCAACCGAUAGAUGAUCAAGGCAAUCCAAUAGUGCUACUGCUGGCUAAAUGUAGUUGGCGGCGUGUAUAAGGAAAGGGCGUACAACCUUUUCUUCGAAAAGAACUUUCAUGGCCUUCAAUGUGGAUUGCAGGGUAUAGAGGGGUCAGCCACCAUGCCAGAUGAGCAGCUUGAGGAGAUUGCUAGGAUGUACGAGGAGGAACGAAAAAGAAUGAUGAAGGAGGAGCGACGUAGGACGACACUUGAGCCAGACGUCCAAAAACUCAAGGCUCAAGUAAAUACGUUAACCAAGCUUCUUUAUUCUCCUCCCCCUAGCUCGGAUUAUGAUGGUGGAGAGGAUGAAGAUGAUGGAGAGGAUGAAAUGAAGUAUUAGGUGGUGGUGUUAUUUUAGCUUUAGAUACUGUUAGUUUAGAGUGUUUGAAAGAAUUUGUUUUGUUACUUGUUUGAAUACUUUUUUAUACUUGUUUGCAUUUUGUUUUGGUUGGAUGAAUAUGCAUGAAGUUUGGCUGCUUGAUUUAAUGUUUGAAUUCGGAAACAUUUUCUUAUUGUUUUGUUGGUUGGCAUUGGUUAUAUGUUGAUUUUCUAUUGAAAUAUUUAAUUUUGGUGACUAAAA